This 21-nucleotide non-coding RNA is filed under the name Caenorhabditis elegans. The record is from RNAcentral. Lineage: Eukaryota; Metazoa; Nematoda; Chromadorea; Rhabditida; Rhabditidae.
UGGAAAUCAAAAUUUGUUAUU